This 303-nucleotide unclassified non-coding RNA is filed under the name plant metagenome. Its description in RNAcentral is "partial contains 5.8S ribosomal RNA, internal transcribed spacer 2, and large subunit ribosomal RNA". The stretch from base 1 to 105 matches the Rfam family "5.8S ribosomal RNA", at positions 50 to 154 of the family's 154-position model. The record is from RNAcentral.
GAAAUGCGAUAAGUAAUGUGAAUUGCAGAAUUCAGUGAAUCAUCGAAUCUUUGAACGCACAUUGCGCCCGCCAGUAUUCUGGCGGGCAUGCCUGUUCGAGCGUCAUUUCAACCAUCAAGCCCCGCGCUUGUGUUGGGGACCUGCGGCUGCCGCAGGCCCUGAAAACCAGUGGCGGGCUCGCUGUCACACCGGGCGUAGUAGAUUUUAUCUCGCUCAGGGCGUGCUGCGGGUUCCGGCCGUUAAAAAGCCUUUUUUUCCCAAGGUUGACCUCGGAUCAGGUAGGAAGACCCGCUGAACUUAAGC